RNAcentral lists this ribosomal RNA (429 nucleotides) under Fusobacteriota bacterium. RNAcentral describes it as "Fusobacteria bacterium partial 16S ribosomal RNA". It matches the Rfam family "Bacterial small subunit ribosomal RNA", at positions 355 to 776 of the family's 1533-position model. Lineage: Bacteria; Fusobacteriati; Fusobacteriota. The record is from RNAcentral.
UGGGGAAUAUUGCGCAAUGGGCGAAAGCCUGACGCAGCGACGCCGCGUGAGGGAUGAAGGUUUUCGGAUCGUAAACCUCUGUCAGAAGGGAAGAAACCGCACUGUGCUAAUCAGCAGUGCCUUGACGGUACCUUCAAAGGAAGCACCGGCUAACUCCGUGCCAGCAGCCGCGGUAAUACGGAGGGUGCAAGCGUUAAUCGGAAUUACUGGGCGUAAAGCGCACGUAGGCUGCUUUGUAAGUCAGGGGUGAAAUCCCACGGCUCAACCGUGGAACUGCCUUUGAUACUGCUUAGCUUGAAUCCGGGAGAGGGUGGCGGAAUUCCGGGUGUAGGAGUGAAAUCCGUAGAUAUCUGGAGGAACAUCAGUGGCGAAGGCGGCCACCUGGACCGGUAUUGACGCUGAGGUGCGAAAGCGUGGGGAGCAAACAGG